CCGGAGGCUACUGCUAUCGGGGUUCGAUUAAGCCAUGCGAGUUAAAUGUUCUUCGUGAACAUAGCGAACUGCUCAGUAAUACGUGGAUAACCUACCCUUAGGACCGGAAUAACCCCGGGAAACUGGGGAUAAUACCGGAUAAGCCAUAGACGCUGGAAUGCCCUAUGGUUCAAAGCUCCGGCGCCUAAGGAUGGAUCUGCGGUCUAUCAGGUUGUAGUGGGUGUAACGUACCUACUAGCCGACGACGGAUACGGGUUGUGAGAGCAAGAGCCCGGAGAUGGAUUCUGAGACACGAAUCCAGGCCCUACGGGGUGCAGCAGGCGCGAACACUUUACAAUGCGGGAAACCGCGAUAAGGGAACCCCGAGUGCCAGCAUCAAAUGUUGGCUGUCCGGAUGAUUAAAAAUCAUUUGUUAGCAAGGGCCGGGCAAGACCGGUGCCAGCCGCCGCGGUAACACCGGCGGCCCGAGUGGUAGCCGUUUUUAUUGGGUCUAAAGGGUCCGUAGCCGGCCUGAUCAGUCCUUUGGGAAAUCUGGCAGCUUAACUGUCAGGCUUCUAAGGGAUACUGUCAGGCUUGGGACCGGAAGAGGUAAGGGGUACUCCAGGGGUAGGAGUGAAAUCUUGUAAUCCCUGGGGGACCAUCUGUGGCGAAGGCGCCUUACCAGAACGGGUCCGACGGUGAGGGACGAAAGCUAGGGGAGCAAACCGGAUUAGAUACCCGGGUAGUCCUAGCUGUAAACGAUGCUCGCUAGGUGUCAGACACGGUGCGACCGUGUUUGGUGCCGCAGGGAAGCCGUUAAGCGAGCCACCUGGGAAGUACGGUCGCAAGGCUGAAACUUAAAGGAAUUGGCGGGGGAGCACUACAACGGGUGGAGCCUGCGGUUUAAUUGGAUUCAACGCCGGAAAUCUUACCGGGGGAGACGGCAGCAUGAAGGUCAGGCUGAAGACCUUACCAGAUCCGCUGAGAGGAAGUGCAUGGCCGUCGUCAGUUCGUACUGCGAAGCAUCCUGUUAAGUCAGGCAACGAGCGAGACCCGUGCCCACAGUUGCCAGCAUACCCUUCGGGGUGAUGGGUACUUUGUGGGGACCGCCGCUGCUAAAGCGGAGGAAGGAGCGGGUUACGGU
RNAcentral lists this ribosomal RNA (1123 nucleotides) under uncultured archaeon. Its description in RNAcentral is "bacterial SSU rRNA". It matches the Rfam family "Archaeal small subunit ribosomal RNA", at positions 17 to 1142 of the family's 1478-position model. The record is from RNAcentral.